Long non-coding RNA from Crotalus tigris (Tiger rattlesnake), 4349 nucleotides. RefSeq lists it as uncharacterized. Lineage: Eukaryota; Metazoa; Chordata; Lepidosauria; Squamata; Viperidae. The transcript has 3 exons. The record is from RefSeq and is a predicted model, not a curated record.
UGGAAGCAUUUGAAGACUGUUACACACUUCUCUCAUGGAUCUGAUGCCAAAUUUGGUAGUUCCUUCUGAGAAACUCUCAGCGGGGCCCUCAACUUACCAUGUGUUUGCUACCAGCAUAUAGCAAAUUGGGACCAGAAUUUCUGUUGCUGAGUAAGGUGGUUGUUGAAGGCUGAUGAAGCUGAUGAUGCCUUCAGAAAUUGUAGGUGCCCCAUCGCUGGAAGCUUUUAAGAAGAAACUAGACAGCCACUUGUCUGAAAUGGUGUAAGGUCUCCUACUUGAGCUGGGGGUUGGACUACACGUUCUCCAAGGUCCCUUCUAACUCUAUUAUUCUAUGCUCUAUAUGAGAUUGGUGCUUAUUCCAGAAUUCGUCUGAAGAUGGCAAUAUGCUACUUUUAAGAAUGAGCAAGGGAAGCACACCUGGCUGUUUUCCAUUACCUCCCACUAUCCUUGCUUCCAGCAGCUACAGUCUGAAGCAGCUUCCUCAUUCCAGCUAAGAACAGGACCAGCCCCUACUGAUUUGUCAUCUGUAGUAAGAAGAGGAUCAGAUUCUUUUUUUGUAUUUAACUUCCUAAUUUUUCAACAUGGUUUUGAAAGGAUGCAUCUGUACUGCUGAAUUUCUAACAUUUUGCAAGAGUUCAGAUUUCAUUGCAACAUUGUCUUAAUUGGAUUUCAUCACUUGGCCCAAGACCAUUGAUAACUUUUGAAAAAAAACUCUGCCUCCCCCAAACUUCUGAAAGUGCAGAAAAUGCACUAGGCUUAUGGCAAAGACAAUGGAGAUGAUUUCAGGUGAUUCUGUAAGCUCCUGGCAAGAUUUUGGUGACCACAGAUAAUGUAUAUACAACCAAACUGCAGUGUUGAUCUAAUCAUCACUGAAGCAUUAAUAUCAUAUGAUAUCAUCUUUAAAGAACUACAUGGCUAGGUGAGAGUAUUCUGAUGCUUCCAAUUCUGGAAACCCAUUCAUUGGGUAGCCUAGCUGUUGUAUUUUCCCUGAUACAACAGCUAAAACAGCUUUAAAAUAUGUCAUGCAGGCUUGUUCUGUAGUGGCUCCUCAGAUUUUAUCUGGGAAACACUUGUGUGCACACUCCAGCUUUCUGACUGACUGAUUGAACAGUUACGCUGUCAACUACUGAAUUUUCUGAUGGUUUAUUGUAAAACCUGCUCAUAUUAAAGUGAAAAUUAAGAUCAAAAUUAAAUUGAACAUCAGUCAAAAUCCCGUUUUAGAAGACACAUUGUUCUGAAUGCUUUUAAAAACCUGACAAAAAGUUUAAUCCCUUCAAUUCUUCAGGAGCAUAUCCUUGAUUGCAAGAGGAGAUUUCUAGGCACUCACAAAACCAUAAAUAAAUGUCCCAAAGAUUUCAGUUUUGGGGUGGAGGGAUCAGAAAUGAUUUAGAACAGGGGUGUCAAAGAGCUGGCCCGUGGGCCGGAUGCGUCAUACGGAAACCGCGCCCACCCCAUUGCCGGCAAUGGCAAAACCGUCCCAAUACGUUGCACAACAUCACAUGACGUCACCAGUUUGACACGUCUGAUUUAGAAGAAUGUAUAUAGCACUGUACCAAGAAAAAAAAAUAAUUGGCAGCAAAUAUGAUGCUUUCAGCAGAAGAGUGCUUUGGUUUUCUUGAUACCAACCUGACUGUGGUAUACUUUAUAUUAACUGAAGACUAGACCCCACUAAUUCCAGGUAAAGCACCCCAAGCAAUGUAACUAACCCUCCUGGGAAAAUUUUGCAAGGUCCCAAAUGAUUAGUUUUGUGCCCAGGCUUGAGGUUCCAGAAAAGUGCCUAUCUAUUCAUUUCGUUGAUGGUUAUUUUAUUAUGUUCGGCUGCUAUGGAUUUUUAUUUUAUAUUAAGCCUUUUACUUGUUUGACCUGUUUCAUUAUAAGCUGCCCAGCUUAGGCGUGAAAACCAACUGGGUGACUUUGGGCCAAUCACCAGCAGACUGCUGUGAGAUGGGCAGCUAUAUAAAUAAAAUAAAUCUGAUCAAAACGUCAUCCCAUUCAGCAUUAGCUGAAUUUAAUACUCUCAUUUAAUACCAACUUGAUAGUACAUCAUGAGAACUGUAGGAGACAGAAGGUCUAAUAAAGCUCAUCUGAAAAAAAACUUUUCAAAUUUUAGUAUUCUAAACUUGAGUCAUCAGCUACAUUGUUUGAAUUACGGCUUUCAGGACAGCAGAUGAUUAGAUUGACUUAGGCUAUGUAAAUGGACUGUAAUCCUGCAAAAUUUAGUGGUAAAUAAAAUCCAGAUUUCUUCAGAAGUAUUGUGGCCCAGUGGCUCUCAGAUCUCAUAUAAUAAGAGGGCCUUCAGUGCCGUCCCCAUGCUCAGUUAUCAACUAUCUUUUAUUUAUCUUUUUAUUUAUAAGCAGUUCAUGAUCUUUAAGUUGGGUGUAGUUAUCUAGGUUUCCAAGAGAUGGCAGAGUUCAAUCAGCAUAAGAUUUCAGACUACAAGAGAAAAUUAAUGAUGACCCACAGAAUAAUUUUACUACAUUAGAAUUUCAAAGCUGAAGUGAAUACUUUAGUAAACAUAUAGUAAAAUAUCAUAUUGUAUACUGAGAAAAGUGAAACGUAGGAUUAGGAAAACAUUCUAAACGUAGGUUAUUGCAAGAAAGAUAUAUACACAUAAAAGUACACUCCUUAUUUAGGCAUUACUGUAUAUUUGCAACAGCUUCAAACCCUGAAAAGAUGCAGUUCUUAGAUGCUACAAUUUUCAAGUUUCUUAAGCCUCAAAUAUCUUGAAUAAUAAUAAAUGAGGUUUUUAUUUAUUAUUUGUCACAUUGAUAACCUGCUCGUGCACAGAAAAACUAGUACAGUAGUACUGAGGACAAAUAGUCCAUAUAUGAAUCUUGAUUUUACCAGAUACCUUCUCAGCAAACUAUGUUUGCUUCUGAUAUGAAAGAGUUGGCCACCUGAAGUCCCAGGCCACAGCAGCUUCUAUCUGCGUCAGCAAAUGUGGAUUUUCUGCCAUUUUCAAUACCAGCACCCUCUUUAUCUCCAUUCUCAGAUAAAAUUGCUUUGUAAUACCUUUGAAAAUUCUUCUCUCACUUGAUCAUAUCAUUUCAAUUUCUUGCCAUUCUGAAAGGCAAAACAUGAUGGCUUUGUAUAAGCCUAAAAGAAGUUAUCAUAGUUUAAAAUGCAAAGAAAAAAAUUACUUCCUCUUCUAACCCAAUAUAAUUGAUUUUGUUAGAGGAGAAUAUUUGGACUGAAGUGAGGGGUCCUGCCACAUUAUAUAAAUAGCAAUUAUGAGGGGUCCUUGGCGCUCUCACAUUGUUUCUCAGGACUACAUAUAGUCCCUGUUUUAUUUUUUGUUUUAAAUGUGUUGCAUCCAUCUGGGUUCUUUACAAAAUUCAGUUGUUGAAAAUUAGAAGUGGGAUUUUUUUAAUUUUUGAGAAAGUAUAGUGUAAUCCUCAACAUAAACUUGAUGCACACUAAAACAAGAUAAAACAAAAACUUUAUAUGCCUGUCCCUUUAAACAAUUGGUGGAAAGAAAUGAAAAAAAAAUCAUGCUGGUCACAUUUUGCAUUAUCAUCCCACCAACUGUGAUGUUCACUCGCAUUAAAAUUAUAAGUAGCGUUCCUGAGCCAUCAAAACGUUGUCCAUCCAAUUGUCUUGAAGUACAAGAGCAUUAUUUAAAACCAUAAUGAUGCUUGUUUUUCAUUUAGCAUAGUGUGUGGAACAUGGUUUGCCAUUUGUUUUAUAGGAAGCUAAUGACUUGUGGUUUAUUUUUUAAAAAAUAAUGGUUCAAGAAACAAUGUCUUACUGUUGUGUGAGAAUUCAGCAACUUAUGGGAUAGAUUAACAUUGUCCAUUGCAGGAUGCGACAGUGACCAGAUGAUGUCAGAGAAAACCUACUUUUGACCAAGAAUUCUCAUUCUCUGAAGCAUUUUUUCUCAUUUGUGAUUAAUUUGAGUUUAGAAAUUUGAAGUUCUGUCGUCACCAAAAUAUCUAAUGUAUAUUCCCAAUUUACCACUGAUUGUUAUGUACAGCAUUAGGCAGGAAGUUUGGGGUUGAGUGAUAUAUAAUCAAACAAUGCAUACUCUUUAAUAAUAGUCAUAAAAAGAUCAGAAUUGCUAUUAAAAUUAAUCUGAUGCUGACUGGUUGUUUAUAAGAAAGAAUAAGCACUUUGUAAUUGCAUCAAUAUUUAUGCAAUUUACUUAAAGCACAGCUAUGAAAACAGAUUUGGAAAUGAGUAGGGUAUAUUUAUUACUAAUUAAGUUGUUCUCUGAUGUUUGGGGUUGAUUUAACUUUCUUAGGUUCAGAUUACAUUUCUACAAGCAUUUCUGAGUUGAAUUUACUGUUAAAAGAAAUGAUUAAACAGAAGGUUAAGAAAUUUGCGAAUAUUCUGAAUAAAAAUUAUAUUAC